AUUGAACGCUGGCGGAAUGCUUUACACAUGCAAGUCGAACGGCAGCACGGACUUCGGUCUGGUGGCGAGUGGCGAACGGGUGAGUAAUGUAUCGGAACGUGCCCAGUCGUGGGGGAUAACGUAGUGAAAAUUACGCUAAUACCGCAUACGAUCUAUGGAUGAAAGCGGGGGAUCGCAAGACCUCGCGCGAAUGGAGCGGCCGAUAUCAGAUUAGGUAGUUGGUGGGGUAAAGGCCCACCAAGCCAACGAUCUGUAGCUGGUCUGAGAGGACGACCAGCCACACUGGAACUGGGACACGGUCCAGACUCCUACGGGAGGCAGCAGUGGGGAAUUUUGGACAAUGGGCGAAAGCCUGAUCCAGCCAUUCCGCGUGCAGGAUGAAGGCCCUCGGGUUGUAAACUGCUUUUGUACAGAACGAAAAGGUUUCUACUAAUACUAGGAGCUCAUGACGGUACUGUAAGAAUAAGCACCGGCUAACUACGUGCCAGCCGCCGCCGUAA
Molecule: ribosomal RNA, 500 nt
Filed under: uncultured bacterium
Lineage: Bacteria
Description: partial 16S ribosomal RNA
Rfam family: Bacterial small subunit ribosomal RNA
Source: RNAcentral